GACGAACGCUGGCGGCGUGCUUAACACAUGCAAGUCGAACGAAGAGACUUGGAAGCUUGCUUCUAAGAAUCUUAGUGGCGAACGGGUGAGUAACGCGUAAUCAACCUGCCCUUCAGAGGGGGACAACAGUUGGAAACGACUGCUAAUACCGCAUACGAUCCAAUCUCGGCAUCGAGACUGGAUGAAAGGUGGCCUCUAUUUAUAAGCUAUCACUGAAGGAGGGGAUUGCGUCUGAUUAGCUAGUUGGAGGGGUAACGGCCCACCAAGGCGAUGAUCAGUAGCCGGUCUGAGAGGAUGAACGGCCACAUUGGGACUGAGACACGGCCCAGACUCCUACGGGAGGCAGCAGUGGGGAAUCUUCCGCAAUGGACGAAAGUCUGACGGAGCAACGCCGCGUGAGUGAUGAAGGCCUUCGGGUUGUAAAGCUCUGUUAAUCGGGACGAAGGUUCUUGUGCAAAUAGUGCGAGG
This 468-nucleotide ribosomal RNA is filed under the name Veillonella atypica. RNAcentral's name for it is "bacterial SSU rRNA". It matches the Rfam family "Bacterial small subunit ribosomal RNA", at positions 28 to 471 of the family's 1533-position model. Lineage: Bacteria; Bacillati; Bacillota; Negativicutes; Veillonellales; Veillonellaceae. The record is from RNAcentral.